RNAcentral lists this transfer RNA (58 nucleotides) under Callosciurus erythraeus (Pallas's squirrel). Its description in RNAcentral is "tRNA-Ser". The record is from RNAcentral. Lineage: Eukaryota; Metazoa; Chordata; Mammalia; Rodentia; Sciuridae.
AGGAAGUAAUGUAAGAACUGCUAACUCAUACUCCCGUGCCUACACCCACGGCUUCCUC